RNAcentral lists this ribosomal RNA (428 nucleotides) under uncultured bacterium. RNAcentral's name for it is "partial 16S ribosomal RNA". It matches the Rfam family "Bacterial small subunit ribosomal RNA", at positions 354 to 796 of the family's 1533-position model. The record is from RNAcentral.
GUGGGGAAUAUUGGGCAAUGGGCGGAAGCCUGACCCAGCGACGCCGCGUGGGGGAAGAAGUCUUUCGGGAUGUAAACCCUUGUUGUACGGGACGAAGGAAGUGACGGUACCGUACGAGGAAGCCCCGGCAAACUACGUGCCAGCAGCCGCGGUAAUACGUAGGGGGCGAGCGUUGUCCGGAAUCACUGGGCGUAAAGCGCACGUAGGCGGGCUGUCAAGUCGGCCGUGAAAGGCACGGGCUCAACCUGUGCAUGUCGGUCGAUACUGGCGGUCUGGAGUAUGGGAGAGGGAACUGGAAUUCCCGGUGUAGCGGUGAAAUGCAUAGAUAUCACGCAGAACUCCGAUAGCGAAGGCAGCUUACCAGGCCAUAACAGACACUGAAGCACGAAAGCGUGGGGAUCGAACAGGAUUAGAAACCCUAGUAGUCC